This 229-nucleotide non-coding RNA is filed under the name Pseudoselenomonas ruminantium. RNAcentral's name for it is "Selenomonas ruminantium T-box sequence". It matches the Rfam family "T-box leader". From Rfam's summary of the family: Uncharged tRNA acts as the effector for transcription antitermination of genes in the T-box leader family. T-boxes are found upstream of many aminoacyl-tRNA synthetase genes and some amino acid biosynthetic genes usually in Gram-positive bacteria. The anticodon of a specific tRNA base pairs to a specifier sequence within the T-box motif, and the NCCA acceptor tail of the tRNA base pairs to a conserved bulge in the T-box antiterminator hairpin. The record is from RNAcentral. Lineage: Bacteria; Bacillati; Bacillota; Negativicutes; Selenomonadales; Selenomonadaceae.
UUAAAGGCAAAGACAAAGACACGAUGGCAAGGAAACGGCUCUUAGAGAGGAACCUGUUUGGUGAAAUGGUUCUGGGCUAGUUGUUGCGAUUACCACUUUGGAGCUGCUGGCAGGAACACUUUGGUUAGUAUUGCCGGACGGGUACUCUUACGUUACGAGAGCUUGAGUGGCUGUUAGAAUUCUAGCAGCAAUCAGGGUGGAACCACGAUGCGAUAGCUUCGUCCCUAUU